CAGUCGAACGAUGAAGCCCAGCUUGCUGGGUGGAUUAGUGGCGAACGGGUGAGUAACACGUGAGUAACCUGCCCUCGACUCCAGGAUAAGCCCGGGAAACUGGGUCUAAUACUGGAUAUUCAAUUUCCAUCGCAUGGUGGUUUUUGGAAAGGAUUCUGGUCGAGGAGGGACUCGCGGCCUAUCAGCUUGUUGGUGAGGUAAUGGCUCACCAAGGCGACGACGGGUAGCCGGCCUGAGAGGGUGACCGGCCACACUGGGACUGAGACACGGCCCAGACUCCUACGGGAGGCAGCAGUGGGGAAUAUUGCACAAUGGGCGAAAGCCUGAUGCAGCGACGCCGCGUGAGGGAUGACGGCCUUCGGGUUGUAAACCUCUUUCAGUAGGGAAGAAGCGAAAGUGACGGUACCUGCAGAAGAAGCGCCGGCUAACUACGUGCCAGCAGCCGCGGUAAUACGUAGGGCGCAAGCGUUAUCCGGAAUUAUUGGGCGUAAAGAGCUCGUAGGCGGUUUGUCGCGUCUGCCGUGAAAGUCCGGGGCUUAACUCCGGAUCUGCGGUGGGUACGGGCAGACUAGAGUGCUGUAGGGGAGACUGGAAUUCCUGGUGUAGCGGUGAAAUGCGCAGAUAUCAGGAGGAACACCGAUGGCGAAGGCAGGUCUCUGGGCAGUAACUGACGCUGAGGAGCGAAAGCAUGGG
RNAcentral lists this ribosomal RNA (693 nucleotides) under Zhihengliuella halotolerans. Its description in RNAcentral is "bacterial SSU rRNA". It matches the Rfam family "Bacterial small subunit ribosomal RNA", at positions 59 to 765 of the family's 1533-position model. The record is from RNAcentral. Lineage: Bacteria; Bacillati; Actinomycetota; Actinomycetes; Micrococcales; Micrococcaceae.